ACAUUUCCGCUGUUCUAAAUACGGCUGCCCUUCAGCAGAAGCUGUUCCCUGCAGACGGCGCCUGCGUAUCGAGCCUCCGUGAAGAAAAUCACUCCCCAGAAUGAGCCCGGCUUUGCGGCUGGGUCCUAAACUGCGACAUCUGAAUGGGACUCCGAGUGCCUUACAUCCCUGCAGCCCCUUCCUCUUCCUACACCCCCAGCAGCAAAUGAGGCACACCUGCAGACAGCAGCUAUCUCUCUGUGGACAGUGGUGGCCGCCGUGCAGGCUAUAGAGAGGAAGGUGGAGAUCCACAGCCGGCGACUCCUACACCUAGAAGGUCGGACAGGGACAGCAGAGAAGAAACUAGCCAGCUGUGAAAAGACAGUUACCGAGCUUGGGAACCAGCUGGAGGGCAAGUGGGCCGUGCUGGGAACCCUGCUGCAGGAGUACGGGCUGCUGCAGAGGCGGCUGGAGAACUUGGAGAACCUGCUGCGCAACAGGAACUUCUGGAUCCUGCGGCUCCCUCCAGGUAUUAAGGGAGAUAUCCCAAAGGUGCCUGUGGCAUUUGAUGAUGUCUCCAUCUACUUUUCCACUCCAGAGUGGGAAAAAUUAGAAGAAUGGCAAAAGGAA
Molecule: small RNA, 609 nt
Filed under: Pan troglodytes (chimpanzee)
Lineage: Eukaryota; Metazoa; Chordata; Mammalia; Primates; Hominidae
Description: processed transcript
Source: RNAcentral